RNAcentral lists this ribosomal RNA (253 nucleotides) under uncultured bacterium. RNAcentral describes it as "partial 16S ribosomal RNA". It matches the Rfam family "Bacterial small subunit ribosomal RNA", at positions 524 to 776 of the family's 1533-position model. The record is from RNAcentral.
UACGGAGGAUCCGAGCGUUAUCCGGAUUUAUUGGGUUUAAAGGGUGCGUAGGCGGUUUGAUAAGUUAGAGGUGAAAUGUCGGGGCUCAACCCCGAAACUGCCUCUAAUACUGUUGGACUAGAGAAUAGUUGCGGUAGGCGGAAUGUAAGGUGUAGCGGUGAAAUGCUUAGAGAUCAUACAGAACACCGAUUGCGAAGGCAGCUUACCAAACUAUAUCUGACGUUGAGGCACGAAAGCGUGGGUAGCAAACAGG